Molecule: long non-coding RNA, 15375 nt
Filed under: Eutrema salsugineum
Lineage: Eukaryota; Viridiplantae; Streptophyta; Magnoliopsida; Brassicales; Brassicaceae
Description: long non-coding RNA (ESAL_LNC001441)
Source: RNAcentral
UUGCUGCAUCGGUUCUGGUAUUGAGUUUGUUGUUCACAGUUUUCUUGAAGCGGAGGAGAUCGAAGAAGGAGAAUAAGUCAGACGCUGAGGUCACUGAAUGGUCUCCUUUGCCAUUGUACAGAGGUGGUGGGAGUUCCGACAAUAGACCUUCUGAUCCGGUCAACAAUUCUCCAUUACGCAGCAAUAGAACUUUUGAUCCGGUCCAUAAUUCGCCAUUACGCAACCUAAACUUAGGCUUGACCAUUCCCUUCAUAGACAUUAUGAGAGCUACAAACAAUUUCGAUGAGCAGUGGUUGAUCGGGAGAGGCGGUUUUGGAGACGUUUACAAAGCCAUUCUUCAAGAUGGAAGCAAAGCGGCUAUCAAGAGAGGCAAGAGUGGUUCAGGACAAGGACUAUUGGAGUUUCAAACAGAGAUUCAAGUCCUGUCGAGAAUCCGGCACAGGCACCUCGUUUCUCUAACGGGUUACUGCGAAGAGAACUCGGAGAUGAUCCUUGUCUACGAGUUUAUGGAGAAAGGUACGCUUAAAGAGCAUCUAUACGGCUCGGAUUUGCCUUCACUGACAUGGAAACAGAGACUAGAGAUUUGCAUCGGAGCAGCUAGAGGUUUGCAUUAUCUCCACAGUGGCUCAGAAGGAGCAAUCAUUCACAGAGAUGUCAAAUCCACAAACAUACUACUAGACGAGAACACCGUAGCCAAAGUCGCGGAUUUCGGGCUCUCAAACUCGCGGUUCGUAAUCAAGAUCCAAUCAAUAUCAGCACUAACAUCAAAGGAACAUUCGGUUACCUCGAUCCUGAGUAUCUGCAGACACACAUCUUGACGGAGAAAUCAGAUGUUUACGCUUUCGGAGUCGUUCUCCUCGAGGUCCUGUGCGCGAGAUCGGCUCUCGAUCCUUCUCUUCCUCACGAGGAAGUGAAUCUAGCGGAGUGGGCGAUGUUCUGCAAAUCCAAAGGGAUAAUCGAUGAGAUCUUAGAUCCGAAAUUGAUAGGUCAGAUCGAGCCGAGUUCGUUGAGGAAAUACAUGGAAAUCGCGGAGAAGUGUUUGAAAGAGUACGGCGACGAGAGGCCGAGCAUGGGGGAUGUGAUCUGGGAUCUGGAGUAUGUUCUUCAGCUUCAGAUGAUGCCGAUUCGCAGAGAGCCUCACGAGGAUAGCGCCGCGACGAUCUCCGGCGGCGGAGGCGAAAGCUCGUUGGUGAUUCCGAGGUUGAUGGUGAGUGAUUCGUUUAGCUCAAACUCGAUUGUUCAGAAGAACGAAGGGAAGAGUAGCUAUGGAGGUACAGAUUCAUCGGAGAGUCGAGUUUUCUCCCAAUUGAAGAUCUCCGAAGCAAGAUAAAAUUUCCUAUGAAACAUUCUGAUUUGAAAAGCGUCUGGUUUAAAGCUUUUGAUAUUAAAAACCGGUUAUUGCCGGUUUAAAUAUAAUCAUUUUAAAACAUAUGCAAAGUAACGAGUCAAUUGAAUGUAAUAUAAAAUUAAAACCCGGUUAUCGUCGGUUUAAAGUUAAUUAUUCUAAGACAAAUGCUAAUUUCCGAAUCGAAAAACAAUUCAAUUUAAUUAACCGAUAAAAACCUAAUUUCAAGAAAAGUUCUGAUUUGAUAAGUGAUUGGUUUAAUUUUUGAAAUUGAAACCCGGUUCCUGCCGGUAUAACGACUCAGCUGUUUGUGAUGUCGGCGAUGAACGAGUCCAGAUUCCGAGCCGAUGAUCCACCAGACGCCAACGCCGAUCUCGCCGCGUGCUUCAGCUCCGUCACUCUCCUCCUCAUAUCCGCGGCGGCAGAUCCUUCCCUCACGGCCUCAAUACAUCUCUCCACCUCUUCAACCUUAAGCUCUCCGUCGACAGCGUCGUUCCUCAUCCUCACUCCGAUCCCGAACACAUCCACAAGCAAUCUCGCGUCAAGCGGCUGAUCAAUCCAGCUCGGGUACGCCACCACCGGAACACCAGUCACCACCGUCUCCAUCGUCGAGUUCCAUCCACAGUGCGUGACGAAACAAGAGAUCGCCACGUGACUCAGUAUCCACUCUUGUGGACCCCACUCAAUCACAAUACCUUGACCUUCUCUAACCAUCUCCUGCAAAACGUCGACGUUUUCGCCUUUCUCCUUUGGCCUAAUCACCCAGAGAAACGAAACUCCUCUGUUUCUCAGAGCCGUUGCUAUGCUCUUAACUUGAGUCUCCGAAGAUUUCAGCAAACUUCCAAAAGAAAUGUAAACAACCGAAGACCUAGCUUGCUUGUCAAGCCACUCCAUACAAUACUCAUCCGAUUUCCACAUAUCAAGAUUUUUACCAUCUAGGGUUUUGUCUUCUUCAUCAGCUCCCAACAGAAAUGGAGAAACCAGAGGACCAAUUGGGAUCAUGGGUUUUAAACCAGACAUCGAUUCGAUUAUCUCUGAUUCGAGCUCGUAGAACGAAUUAACCAAAACCCAUUUCACAUCUUUCAAGCAAUCGACGAACUCCACCAUUAGGCUAUUGAAAUGACUUCCUGAAGAAGGCAAGAGAAACGAAGGGAGAUCUCCAACUUCCAACAAUGGUAAACCUGGCAAUUCAACCGUUUGAUUCAAAUCUUCGAGAUUCUCAGGGAAAGCAUUCGUCUUCAUGUAGUAACGGUAAUAAACCGAGAAAGCUCCACAAGCUUCGAUCCAGAGGAUUGCACAGGGGAUGUUAUAUGCAGCUGCAACACUUGGAACCCAUGGAGCAAAAGGCACAGUGACGAUGCAAGAGAAUCUCUUUGAUUCGACGAUUUUAGACAAGUUCUUGGCUCCGACUUUUUUCAACGAUGGUAUGAGAGAAUCUGCGGCUCUUGUGUGGUCUUUAGGCAGACCGUCGGGGAAGAAAGCAAGGUCCACUGGGCUACGGUGAUGUUCUUCGGCGGCGGUGGUGGUGGAGAGGAGGUCACGGGUUUUCUCGGUGGUAGCGAGAGUGAAGCUAAGGUUUGGUCGUGAGAGAUGUUUGGCGAAUUUGAGCAUUGGAUUAAGAUGACCUUGAAAUGGUAGUGCUACCAAUAGAACAUGUGUUUCUUGACCCUCACUAUUUCUCAUUUCUGCUUUGUUUAGAGGUGUUACUUAUUAGACUUGAGUUGUGUAUGAGAUUGUGUGUAACUUGUAAUUGUGGUGGUAUAUAUAACAAUGGUUGCUUAACGAUAGAUUUUUGCUUAAAAUGAAGUUAUUAAGUGAGAUUUUGGUAAGAAAAAUCUAUAUAUAGUAAAAAUUGGUAACCCAAUAAAAUGUAAUAGAUUCAAAAGUUACCACGUUUAUUAGCACCCUGCGCCUUGUCCUUAACUCAAUUCAAAUCUUGUAUAAUUGUUGACCAAAAAAACACGAUAUAUAUACCAAUUCUAGUAUGGUUAAAGUCAACAGUCAUUACUAAUGAUUUAUGAAUCUUUUUGUAUAGUGUGACACUGAGAUCAUUGUAAUUUGUUAAUGACAAUCUAUAAACUGUAAUUGGUAAUCCAAUAAACGUUGGUCAAUAAAUUCAAAUUUAAUCAUGUGUUUCUAUGCUCUUGUAAAUAAAUAAAUAUAUGUUAUUUUCAAUUGUGUUAUGGUUAUGAUUAGAUUUAUAUAAAAAAUAUGGUUAUGAUUAGAUUUAUAUAAAAAAAAACAGGUCUCAAUUCAUUCGGAUCAGUCUCGUUUGUAUCUGUCUCACUUUUAGAUUUGAAAUCCGUUAAGCUCUAUUUAGUUUUUGGAACUAACAGAGUAAUCGGUUUAUACAUGCCAAAAUUCUUUUAAUCUAUUUAAAACCAUUUACGAUAUGAUGCUUAAACAUUCUUAAUAUUUAUUUUAAAUUAUAUAAACUAAGCUUUUGGAAGCUAAUCAGAAGCUAACACACCAGUAUAAUUACCAUUGUUUUUUUAUUAAAUAAUAAUUACCAAUGUUUCAAGGCAUGCUUGAAUAUUCCACUAAGAAAAAUCAUCGAAAUUGUUUAUACUAAUCUAAAAUCCUAGCAAAGGUGGGUGAAUCUUUUUUUUUAAAUAGUUAUACAUAUUUUCGAGAUGACAAAAUUUAACAAUAUGAUAAAAUCAUAUGAACACUCGAACAUUUAUGUAGAUUUUAGUUAUGUUAUAUAUCCAAGAAGAAAUGAAUAAUAUUAAGUAACAUCUAUUACAAAUAACAUAUCAAUUGGUAACAUCAGAUGGCAAAUCAAAUAACAUCAUUACGUAGUAAAUUCAUGUGCAUGCGUUACUAGCUAAGCUUGUAUUCACUUUAUAAAAGAAAAUACAAAAUAGCAAUAGCAAUAAUGAAGGGAAGAGCAGCUACGGAGGUACAGAUUCAUUGAUCGAAGAGUCGAGUUUUCUCCCAAUUGAAGAUCUCUGAAGCAAGAAAACAAAUAAUCUCUUGAAUCCUUCUGAUUUAAAUACCGACUGGUUUUAACUUUUGAUAAUAAAAUCCGGUUAUUGCCGGUUUAAAUAUAAACAUUUUUUUAAGUCGACAAAAAAAAACAUUUCAAAACAGAUGUAAAGUGAGUCAACACUAUGAUCGAUGACUUUCUAGUUGAUGAGAAACGUGCACAAAAAGAAAAGGGUAACACUAUGAUCGAUCACUUGCUUUCUCUCCAAGAAACUCAACCAGAUUAUUAUACGGAUGUCAUCGUCAAAGGACUCAUAGUUGUAAGUAUUGAGGAAUACAUUUAAUACAUCACUAACAACUAACAAGGCUAACUAAGCUUUUUAUAAUGACUAAUUCUUGACUUCUAUUUGGAUAGGUUAUGAUAUUUGCCGGAAAUGUAACAAGAACGUUAGAAUGGGCGAUGCUAAAUCUGUUGAACCAUCCAGAAGUACUAAAGAAAGCGAGGAUUGAAAUCGAUACAAACAUUGGUUUGGACAGGUUAAUAGAUGAACAGGAUGCGAAAAGUCUUCCUUACCUCCAAUGCAUCAUAUCAGAGAUUUUUCGACUUUACCCGGCAGCUCCUUUACUUGCUCCUCAUAGGGCUACAGAUGAUUGUAUAGUUGGAGGCUACGACUUCCCUCUUGGCACGACAUUAAUCGUGAACGUAUGGGCCGGCCAUUCACCGAGACCCAAACAUAUGGUAAGAGCCAGAAAAGUUCAAGUUAGAGCGGUUCGAGAAGAAAGGAGAAGAACAAAAGUUGAUGCCGUUUGGAAUGGGACGACGAGCUUGUCCCGGGUCUGGUCUAGCUCAACGGGUCGUGAGUUUGGCUCUCGGAUCGAUGAUUCAAUGUUUUGAAUGGGAGAGACUUGGAGAAGAAUAUGUUGACCUAAGCGAAGCAACCACAAUGCGUCCAACGACGCCGUUGCUAGCCAUGUGUAGAGCUUGUCCUAUUGUUCAUAAGAUUUUCAAUACUUCUUUUUGAGAUGUCACUCCCUUUUUAAAAAAUAUGUAUAUCCAUUUAUGUUAUAUCCAUUUUGAGAUGUAAUUAAAAUGAAAGACAAAGACUAGUCUUUGAUUUGCCUUAAGAUUUUCCAUUUUAUUAAAAUUCAAAAACUAUUUUUUUUUUUCAAAAACCAAAAUUUAGAAGUUAAAUGCUACUCCAUUAUCAAAUAAACUCACUUCUAAAUUUCUAUGAAUGAGGAGUAGUUUUUUACUUUGAGAAAGUGUGAAGAAAUUUUUCCAAUUUCUUAGUUUUUGUUUGUUUUUUUUUGAGAAAGGGUUAAGAAAAGGGAGCUUGUUUUAUAAUGGAAUCUCUCAUGCAAUUAUUCCCACCUGUCACUAGAGAUAUGUUCGUAACUUCGUAACGUCUCAUGCAAUUACUGACUAAUAAACAUGUGUGAUAAGUCACCAUUAAUAUUUAUUGUCUAUUUCUUUUGCUUUUAAUUAUUAGGGUUUUGAGUAGAAAUUUGUUUCUUUCUAAUAUUAUAGACAAUAUAUAUUGCUAGCGUUUACGUUUUUUAUUUUGGUUCAAAACAUAGUGGUUAAAAAUAAACAAAUCAUAAAUUUUUAUUAUUAGUCAUUAAUGAAUGAGAGACGUUACGAACAUAUCUUUAGUUUAUUAAAAAAAAAAAAAGAUAUCUUUAGUGACAGGUGUGAUAAUUGCAUGAGAGUUUUCAUUAUAAACUAAGCUACAUAAACUAAUAACUCCCACGUUCGAUUCAACACAUUUACAACAAGAAGAAGUUCUUGAUCUAAAAUGGAAACUUAUUUUCUUAUUUUAUCCCUCGCCAUCUUCUUUUUCAUUUCUCUUAAACUUUUGUUUAAUAAACCGCAUAACAAGUUUAACCUACCACCAAGUCCGGCGAGGCCACUACCGUUGAUUGGACACCUUCACCUCCUGAAGCAGCCUCUCCACCGCACAUUCCUAUCUUUCUCUCAAUCCCUCGGCAGUGCCCCAAUUUUCUCCCUCCGUCUUGGAAACCGUCUCGCGGUUGUCGUCUCCUCCUACUCCAUCGCAGAAGAAUGCUUCACGAAAAACGACAUCGUUUUGGCUAACCGACCAGAGUCCAUAGUCGGGAAAUACAUUGAGUACAACUUCACCACUGUGACCAGCGCGCCUUAUGGUGACCACUGGCGAAACUUGCGGCGUCUCAGCACCCUCGAGAUCUUCUCCUCGCACAAGCUCAAUGGCUUUAUAUCCGUCCGUAAGGACGAGAUCCGACACUUGCUACUUCGUCUCUCCAAAAACUCGCAACAUGUAUGUGAGCUUCUACAUAUUAGUACUCUAUGACUAUAUACAUUAUCAGAGUUUGUAACCUAGUAGUUUGUCUUAGUGUGGCCUCUAGGUCAUAACCUAUAUAUAUACAUUACUUGAAGAUCUGCUCAGAGUUUGUAACCUAGUAGUGUGGCCACUAAAUUAAAAGUCAUAACUUGAGUACCAUGCAACAAAAGUUUGAGAAUUAAUCAUUUGUUUAUUUGAUAAUAAAUUAGGGGUUUGCCAAGGUGGAGAUGAGAUCAUUGUUUAUGGAUUUGACUAUCAAUAACAUUCUCAGAAUGAUGGCUGGGAAAAGAUUUUAUGGUGAUGGAACAGAGCAAGACGACAAUGCACGGCGAGUGAGACAGCUUAUUGACGAGGUGGUAUCCUACGCCGGCGCCGGGAAUGCUACCGAUUAUAUCCCAAUCUUGCGUUGGAUCACAAGUUUUGAGAAACGGGUCAAGAACUUAGCGGGUCGGGUCGAUGAGUUCUUGCAGAGCCUGGUGGAUGAAAAACGUGCGGAUAAAGAAAAGGGCGACACUAUGAUGGAUCACUUGCUUUCUCUCCAAGAAAUCCAGCCUAAUUAUUACACAGAUAUCACUCUAAAGGGGAUUAUAGUUGUAAGUAUUUAUUUUCUACAUUUAUUAAUCUUGAAUAAUCUAUUUAAUAUAUAACAACACAAACUAAACAUUUGUUAAUUUAAUUUUUACAGGUUAUGAUACUUGCCGGAACUGAAACACUAACAGGAACAUUAGAAUGGGCUAUGUUGAAUUUGUUGAAUCAUCCAGAGGUAUUAACGAAAGUAAGAACCGAAAUCGAUACCAAAAUCGGUUUUGACCGGUUAAUAGAUGAACAAGAUAUUAAAAAGCUCCCUUAUCUCGAAGGGAUUGUGUUGGAGACCUUACGUCUCCACCCUGUAGCUCCUACACUUGUUCCACAUAUGACGUCAGAUGAUUGCAUGUUGGCCGGAUACGAUGUUCCAAGUGGAUCCAUGCUAUUGGUGAACGUAUGGGCCAUGCAUAGAGACCCGUCUCUAUGGGAAGAUCCAGAAAUGUUCAAGCCAGAGAGGUUCGAAAAUGAAAAUGAAAAUCAAAAGGUGUUGUCGUUUGGGAUUGGACGACGAUCAUGUCCCGGGGUUGGAUUAACUCAUCGGCUAGUGAGCUUGGCUCUUGGAUCGAUGGUUCAAUGUUUCGAAUGGGAGAGAAUUGGAGAAGAAUAUAUUGACACUAGAGAGGCACCUAUGAUGCGUCCAACUACCCCGUUGCAAGCCAUGUGUAAAACUUGUCCCAUUGUCCAUAAGAUUCUCGAUGCUUAUGCUUGAAUUGUAACUCUUCUUGGUUUGAUUUAUGUUCGGAAAUACUACAUCAACUUGUUUUGAGUUGGGAAAUAAUUCAAAAUCCUUCUAAGAACGCUCUCAUGCAAACUGUUGAAUGUAUCUUCAAGGUUCUGAUCACCAUCUAGCUGAGUCUUUACGGAAAAUUAGAUCGUCACUAAAUAUUAUCAUUUUACCUUCGAAUAUAUUGAUUUUGUUGCCCUGAUGAUACACUUGAAAUAAAUAAAAAACAACCAUAGAGACACUCAAAUAAAAAAAAAGCUCAUAGCUUUAAAAUUUCUUGUAUAUUUUGAAACUAAAAUUAAGCUAUAUUACUUAUACUGAUAUUCCAUUUCUUCACAGUAUGAUCUAAUGAUUUUUGCAAUCCUCUAUGCUUUUGUUGUUGCAAUUAUACUUAUAUCUCCAUUUCAUUACAGUAUGAUAUAUAUAUAUAUAUAUAUAUUGUAAGUUUUGCAAUCCUCUACAUAUCAUUCUUCCCACAGCUCUAUCUGAAAAUUCCAUAUAUAUGUUCAACUUAUCUCUCUUCGUGUGUUGUGAAUUGUGUAUUAGAUUUGAGUAUUACAUUUGUACUUUUACAAUUCUUUUUUUUUUUUAUAAUCUUGAAGUGCUCUAGGAAUUAUAAUUAUUAUAUCAUGUUGGAUUUUUAAGAAUUUUGGUUUUUAUGAUAUUUUGUAAAAAAUUAGAGAGUGAUGUGUUUCUAGGGACAAAAGACGAAGACUUGAAAAAUCAACCCUCGUCUUUUUCCUCAUCGUCCCAUUAGAAAUCUCAGUUUUCUCUUCAAUCUUAUCUUCUUCCUCAGAAUCCUCUUCACAUCGACCACAGGUUUCUUCAUCCAUCGACUUAUUGAAAUUUCUUGUAGUAUAAGUUAAACCAAAAUGUGUGGAAACUAUUCAACACAAAAGACUUUUCACUCUCUUCUUUCAACGUGAAUAACACUUCGUACGAAGGACUAAAUGGUGAGCCAAGCGAAGCUGAGUGGAUAUGGAGCACUGACUAUAUGUAUUUAAAGAGAUGGCAUGAAAACAAUUUAACCAUCACAAUUUCCAUUUGCUCGCUUCUUUUUCACUAUUGAUUUUCAAGAAAGUUAAAAAUUAGCUUAAAGAAAAAACGAAAGGCUCUUGAAACUCAAUGAGUACCAUUCAUAUUUCUCUUUCUUUUCUCCUCUUGUUCGUUUUUAGUUUUCAUGACGUGUUUGCUGCUCCUACUAGACACUUGUGUCGUCCGGAGCAAAGGGAUGCACUUCUCGAGUUCAAGAAUGAGUUUGAGAUUCGGAAGCCUUCUUUUGAGUGUUAUGUUAAUGGUAGCUAUGUGCGCCCUUACCCGAAGACGGAGUCAUGGGCAAAUAACACUGAUUGUUGUUAUUGGGAUGGGAUCAAGUGCGAUGCCAAAUCUGGGGAAGUGAUCGAGCUAGACCUCAGUUGCAGCUGUCUCUACGGCAAGUUUCGUUCCAAUACCAGUCUGUUUAGGCUUCACAGCUUUCGUUUUCUCACCACUUUAUACGUUUCAUAUAAUGAGUUACAUGGUCAAAUCCCGUUCUCAAUUGGAAAUCUUUCUCUUCUUACUUCUCUCGACCUUUCUUCCAAUGGGUUUUCGGGUCAGAUUCCAUCUUCAAUUGGAAAUCUAUCACUGCUUACCUUUCUGAGACUUUCUGAUAAUCAGUUUUCGGGUCAGAUUCCAUCUUCAAUUGGAAAUCUUUCACAGAUUACCACUCUCCGUUUUUCCUUUAAUCAGUUUUCGGGUCAGAUUCCGUCUUCAAUUGGAAAUCUUUCACUUCUUACCUCUCUUGAUCUUUCUUCCAAUCAGUUUUCGGGUGAGAUUCCAUCUUCAAUUGGAAAUCUUUCACUGCUUACCUCUCUCUAUCUUUCUUUCAAUCAGUUUUUGGGUCAGAUUCCAUCAUCAAUUGGAAAUCUUUCACUGCUCACCUCUCUCCAUCUUUCUUAUAAUGGGUUUUCGGGUGAGAUUCUAUCAUCAAUUGGAAAUCUUUCACUGCUCACCUCUCUUCAUCUUUCUUAUAAUGGGUUUUCGGGUGAGAUUCCAUCCUCAAUUAAAAAUCUUUCACAGCUCACCUUUCUCAAACUUUCUUCCAAUCAGUUUUCGGGUCAGAUUCCAUCUUCAAUUAAAAAGCUCUCUCAUCUCCAAACUCUUCACCUCAGAUAUAACAAAUUCACUGGUGAAAUCCCAGAUUCUUUUGCCAGUUUGAAAAAUUUGACCGAGUUAGAUGUUAGUUUCAAUAAGCUUAGUGGUAAUUUUCCAAUUUGGCUACUAAAUUUGACAAAGUUGUCGUAUUUAUCACUCGAAUACAAUCAACUCACAGGAACGCUUCCCUCAAACAUUAGCUCACUCUCCAACUUGCGAUAUUUUUGGGCACGUGACAAUGAUUUCGUUGGAACCAUUCCUUCUUCUCUCUUCACCAUUCCUUCUUUGACAAGAAUUUAUUUGUCAAAUAACCAACUCAACGGCACUCUUGAGUUUGGGAAUAUAUCUUCACCAACAAAGCUAGAGUGGUUAGAGCUUGGCGGUAACAACUUGAGAGGGCCAAUACCGAGAUCCAUUUCCAAAUUAGUCAACCUCCGGGGACUUUACCUUUCCAAUUGGAACACCCAAUUAGGCCCAAUUGACUUGAGUAUCUUCUCGCAUCUCAAGUCACUCGGAUUUCUUUACUUAUCCCAUUUGAACACCACCACCACGAUUGACUUGAAUGCCAUCUUAUCAUUUUUCAAGUCGCUCGAAGGAUUGGAUCUCUCAGGCAACCAUGUUUCAGCCGAAACCAAGAGCUCAGUUUCAGAUCCUCCUUCGCAAAUGAUACGAGAAUUAAACUUGUCAGGCUGCGGUAUUACCGAAUUUCCAGAGAUCAUAAGAACCCUGCAGUCUAUGGAGAGACUAGACAUUUCCGACAACAAAAUCAAAGGUCAAGUGCCUGGCUGGUUAUGGACUCCACCAAAUCUGACGUACGUGAAUCUUUCCAACAACACUUUCGUCAGUUUCGGAAGACCAACGAAACAUGGACUAUCCUCUGGCUUGUGGUACUUGUCUGGCUCCAGAAACAAUUUCACGGGAAAGAUUCCCUCCUUCAUAUGUGCGUUGGGCUCUCUAAGCGUUCUCGAUUUAUCUGAAAACAACUUCACGGGAAAGAUUCCCUCCUUCAUAUGCGCGUUGGGCUCUCUAAGCGUUCUCGAUUUAUCUGAAAACAACUUCAAUGGUUCAAUCCCUCUUUGUAUGGAGAAUCUCAAGAGUAAUCUUUCGGUUCUAAACCUCCGUCAGAAUCAUCUUAGCGGAGGCCUUCCGGAGAAUGUAUUUGAAAGUCUAAGGUCCCUUGACGUUGGUCAUAACCAACUGGUGGGAAAGCUUCAAAGAUCUUUGAUCCAUUUCUCUGCCCUUGAAGUUCUAAAUCUGGAAAGCAACAGAUUCAACGACACCUUUCCGUUUUGGUUGAGUUCUCUACAAAACCUGCAAGUUCUUGUCUUACGCUCCAAUGCAUUCCAUGGACCGAUUCAUCGAGCCUCCUUCCUUCAGCUGAAAAUCAUGGACAUCUCGCAUAAUCACUUCAACGGAGUUUUACCGUCGGAUUACUUUGUGAACUGGAGUAAAAUGUCAUCACUUGGGACAGAAAAAGAUCGGUCGGAUGUAAACUACAUGGGAGAAGGUACCUAUUACGAAGAUUCAAUGGUUUUGAUGAAUAAAGGCUUAGAGAUGGAGCUGGUACGUAUAUUAAAAAUCUUCACAGCACUCGACUUCUCCGGAAAUAGAUUUGAAGGAGAGAUUCCAAGGUCCAUCGGCCUAUUGAGAGAGCUUCACGUGCUCAACUUGUCAAACAAUGCUUUCACUGGCCACAUUCCAUCAUCUAUGGGGAACCUGACAGCUCUCGAGUCACUUGACGUUUCCCAAAACAAGCUUUCAGGUGAGAUCCCACAAGAGCUAGGGAAUCUCUCGUACCUUUCUUCCAUGAACUUCUCUCAUAACCAGCUUGUCGGUCUAGUACCUGGAGGCACUCAGUUUCGAACGCAGCCUUGCUCUUCCUUCGAACACAACUCAGGACUUUUUGGCCCUUCUCUUGACGAAGUUUGCAAAGAUAUCCACAAGCCAUCAUCGCAAGAGUAUGAAACACCGGAGGAGGCAGAGGAAGAAGACGAAGAGGUGUUUAGUUGGAUUGCAGCUGCAAUAGGAUUUGGACCUGGCAUUGUAUUAGGAUUGACGAUUGGAUACAUAUUGGCCUUCUACAAACCGAGGUGGUUCACGAGUCCUUUUGGCCGAAACAAACACAGAAGCAGAAGCACCACAGCUCAUUAAGUGAGGUAAUCUUCUGAAUUUCAUAGAUUAUAGACUAUGUAUAGUAUAAUGAAUUUUUCUGGGUUAAUGUAUACUGUAUGUGAAAAUUAACUUUUUACGCCGUUUUUGUUUGUAUAGCGUUCUUAAACCCAAGAUGAAAAAUCUUUGAAAAAGAGAAUGAAGCAACCAGACCAUAGGACUGUAGAGAAAGAAGCUUGGGGAGAAGGCAACCCAUUUUAUCAAAAACUAAAUAUCAGUGAUUGUUUCCGGUUUAGUUUUGUGUGUUUAUCAUAUACUCUGUUUUUAGCCAAUGUUUUUGUUUCUCUGUAAUUGAACAAUGAAAGACUGUUUACAAAGCUCAAACUUAUUCCUAUUUCUCUGUGAUUGGACAUGAUUUGAGAGAGGUUAUAAUGCUCUUGCUCCGACUAAAUCAAUCAUUCUUCUGCCAAAUGAAGAACUAAGAUUCAACACACAUCUCAGAAAAUUGAUCCUUUUUCUCUUUUGGUAAUAUUAAUUAGCUGAGUAAAAUGAUAACUUAAUUAGUUUAUUGAAAGAUAUUUCACUGAGAAAUAUAUUAGUUAGUGGCGAUCAGGAUCAGCGACCAAUUAAAGCUAUAGAUAUAGUUGCUUAAAACCCAAGCUUUGCCAUUACAAUGAGGAAAAAAAAUCAUCUCACAAAUCAUUCCACUUUCCAACUACUGAAACUCUACAAUAGUCAAAUGACUCAAAUCGGAAUAAGAAAGUUAUACAUACACACAUAAUUUAAGGUCACAAUGACAAAAUCGUCGGUCUUACCAAAAAGAGUAUAAGUAUUCAUCAAAAGACAUCUUCUAAAAUGAAUUAUAUUAAAAAAAUUUGGUGAAAACAAACAAGAAAUUUUUACUGCUUAAUUAUUUUUGUUUUUAAAAACCAAAAGGUAAAUGGAAGUCGCUCUAAUUUUUACUUAUAAACCAAAACAAGAAAUUUUCAGUUAUAUCGUUCUAAGAUGAUGCAAUUGAUAGUAUAAUCUAUACGACUCUAUACUCCACUGAUACUUUUUCGUUUUUAAGCAGACAACUUUUCAGAGUACAAAUCUUUUGUUAUUUUUAUUCCUGGGAGAUGUAUAUCCUAUAAACAAAACUGUGUUAAAUGGAAGGACUUCAUGGACACCAAAACCAGAGGAGAAACGAAGACAGACGGUUUAGAAAUAUUUUGAUCACAUCCAAAAAAUAUAAUUCGAUAUUUUUUAUCAGAUUAAAGAAAAAACGUAUCAUUUUGAUCACAUCACAAAGUCAGUGCAAAAUCACAUCCAAAAAACUGUGAUAAUUUUGAUCACAUCACAAAGUCAGUGCAAAAUCAUAUAAAAAAAAUUCGAAUAAAGAAAAAACGUAUCAUGCCAAACGAAACCAAACAAAUAAAUAGAUAACAGUUGACUGACCGAGUCAGUCAUGGACAAAAACGAAGACUUGAAAAGUCAACUCCGGUCUUCUUCCUUAUUGUCCCACCAAUAAUUUACUUUUUUUCCUUCAAUCUCAUCUUCUUCCUCAAUCCUCUGAACAUCGACCACAUAUUUCUUCAUCCAUUGACCUCAAAACUUGACUUUCAUAGUUUCACUAUUGACUCUCUUUCUUUCUCUCUCUCUCUCUAGAUUUUCCAACAAAGCUAUGGAGAAACUCUGUUUUCGAAACUCAUUUUCUCUCUUUAUGACGACUGUGGUCAUUAUUCUUCUUCCUCGUUGCACUCUUUCUGCUACUUCUAUAUAUUCUCAUCGUCCCGAGAAGUUUUACGUCAACUGUGGGUCGGAUUCUAUUGUCACUUAUGGUGGUCGGACCUUCGUCGGAGAUAUGAUCUCCGGUGGCAACUCCGUUUCUUUCAACAGUAAAGGAACUGAAGCCAUCAAUCAAUCAGGAUCAGGAAUCUAUGAAACGGUUAGGAUAUUCAGACGCCCUUCUUCUUACAAGUUCCAACUCGAUUCCAUUGGUCUGCACUUCGUGCGUCUCCAUUUCUCUGCUGUCUCUUCUCGGACAGAGCUUUUAACUGCUCGUUUCACAGUCUCAGCUACUUCUCACUUGAAAAGUUUCUCGCUUCAGAAUUUCAAUGAGACCCCACGAGUUGAGGAGUUUCUCCUGAUGAUUGACUCGCCAGAAUUCGAAAUUCGAUUUGUGCCCGAUCAUUCAUCCAUGGCUUUUGUCAACGCCAUCGAAGUGUUCUCUGCUCCUAAUGACCUAGAAAUUCCGUCAGACUCCGACAAGAAUCUGCAUACGGUUUACAGAUUAAACGUAGGAGGCAAGAAGAUCACACCAGAAAACGACACCUUGGGAAGAACUUGGUCAGUUGACGAGGACUUCCUCUACGAAAAAGAUUCUGCGAGGAACAUUAAUUCAACACAAAAGCCUAACUACGAGUCAGGGACAGCGACGCCAUUCACUGCUCCUGAUUUUGUCUAUCAGACAGCGAAAACGAUGAACCAUAGCUCGAAUGAGGGGAUGGCAGAUGGGAUGUUGAUGAACGUUACUUGGUCAUUUAAGGUCAAUAGCAACUCUAGACACUUACAUCAGGGUUCACUUCUGUGAUAUCAAGAGUGAAUCACAAAAUCCCGACUCCGAUUUCUAUCUCUAUGUAAACGGACAAUCACGACUAGAUGUAAAGCCUUCAGAGCGUAUUAGGUUGGUGACUCCGUUUUUCAAAGAUGUGAAUGUCUCUGAUGGUUUUGGACUCUUGAAUGUUACAAUAGGUACUAAGGAUUCCACUAAGGAUGCUGGUUUUCUGAAUGGUCUGGAGGUGAUGGAGUUUUUGAAAAAGUCAGAUUCUUCAGAUAAAAGUAGUUUCCGGGUUUACAUCAUCGCUGGCUGUGUUGUUGCUGCAUCGGUUCUGGUGUUGAGUUUGUUGUUCACAGUCUUCUUGAAGCGGAGGAGACUGAAGAAGGAGAAGAAGUCAGAUGCUGAGGUCACUGAAUGGUCUCCUUUGCCAUUGUACAGAGGUGCUGGGAGUUCCGACAAUAGACCUUCUGAUCCGGUCAACAAUUCUCCAUUACGCAGCAAUAGAACAUUUGAUCCGGUCUACAAUUCGCCAUUACGCAACCUAAACUUAGGCUUGACCAUUCCCUUCAUAGACAUUAUGAGAGCUACAAACAAUUUCGACGAGCAGCGGUUGAUCGGGAGAGGCGGUUUUGGAGACGUUUACAAAGCCAUUCUUCAAGAUGGAAGCAAAGCGGCUAUCAAGAGAGGCAAG